RNAcentral lists this ribosomal RNA (921 nucleotides) under Hyalopontius typicus. Its description in RNAcentral is "SSU rRNA". It matches the Rfam family "Eukaryotic small subunit ribosomal RNA", at positions 81 to 989 of the family's 1831-position model. Lineage: Eukaryota; Metazoa; Arthropoda; Copepoda; Siphonostomatoida; Megapontiidae. The record is from RNAcentral.
GUGAAACCGCGAAUGGCUCAUUAAAUCACACCUAAUAUACUGGAUAGUAUCAGUUACUUGGAUAACUGCGGUAAUUCUGGAGCUAAUACAUGCGUACAAGCCUUGAACUUAAGUGAGGGGCGCUUUUAUUAGAUCAAAACCAAACGGCGGUCUUUCGGGAUUUGCCGUAUGUUUGGUGACUCUGAAUAACUUUGUGCUGAUCGCACGGCUUUAUGCCGGCGACGUAUCCUUCUAAGGUGUGCCCUAUCAACUGUCGACUGUGGCAUAGACGCCCACAGUGGUUUUGACGGGUAACGGGGAAUUAGGGUUUGAUUCCGGAGAGGGAGCCUGAGAAACGGCUACCACUUCUAAGGAAGGCAGCAGGCACGCAAAUUACCCACUGGUCGAAGACCGAGGUAGUGACGAAAAAUAACGAUACCGGACUCAUCCGAGGCCCGGUAAUCGGAAUGAGUACACUUUAAAUCCUUUAACGAGGAACAAUUGGAGGGCAAGUCUGGUGCCAGCAGCCGCGGUAAUUCCAGCUCCAAUAGCGUAUAUUAAAGUUGUUGUGGUUAAAAAGCUCGUAGUUGGAUCUCGGCGAGUAGGGGGUGGUUCGUUGUUUAACGUUACUGCUCCUUUUACUCGUGUUAUUGACGGAGGUUCCAGGGUUCUCUUAACCGAGUGUCCUGGGAUUCCGUCAGGUUUACUUUGAAAAAAUUAGAGUGCUCAAAGCAGGCUUUACACGCUUGAAUAUUCGUGCAUGGAAUAAUAGAAUAGGAUGUCGUUUCUAUUUUGUUGGUUUUCGGAAAUUGACAUAAUGAUUAAUAGGGACAGUCGGGGGCAUUAGUAUUCAGACGACAGAGGUGAAAUUCUUGGACCGUCUGAAGACUAACUACUGCGAAAGCAUUUGCCAAGAAUGUUUUCAUUAAUCAAGAACGAAAG